GCUGCUGUCGAAGUUCCAUCUACAAAUGGAUAAUACUUUUGUUUUAGUGUAUACGAGUCGUUGAAAGAUCAAUACCAAACUUCUUAAUACAACAAGAAGUUUGGUAUUGAUCCAUUUGAUUCAGUAGUGUUUUAUUCACAUAAUCGUUUUUCACUUUCAUUUCUUUUAUUCAACUUAUGGAAACACUGGUUAUUUCAUGAUCGAAUAUCAUAGUUUCUUUUGUACCAACCUGUAAUUUAUAUACUACCAUUCUGAUUCUUCAAAAUCAUUUGAUUUUAGGAAAAAAUCAAAUGAUUUUUCUUAUUUUAUGGAUUGGCAUUUUCUGUACAAUAUCUGUAUUUCAGUAGGAAGGAGAGUGAAGUAAUAGUCAUAAAGACUAAAUAAAAAAAUAAUGAAUGGCGAAAAUGGAAUCCUUUUGAGAGGGGAGGGGCGGAUGUAGCCAAGUGGAUCAAGGCAGUGGAUUUGUGAAU
RNAcentral lists this unclassified non-coding RNA (470 nucleotides) under Sextonia rubra. RNAcentral's name for it is "psbA-trnH intergenic spacer region". The record is from RNAcentral. Lineage: Eukaryota; Viridiplantae; Streptophyta; Magnoliopsida; Laurales; Lauraceae.